RNAcentral lists this long non-coding RNA (6520 nucleotides) under Durio zibethinus. RNAcentral's name for it is "long non-coding RNA (DZIB_LNC000244)". The record is from RNAcentral. Lineage: Eukaryota; Viridiplantae; Streptophyta; Magnoliopsida; Malvales; Malvaceae.
AAUAUCACCAUUACGAAGACCCUUACUUCGGACAAAUUGGAUCCAACCGGAAACAAGAACCAGUUUUGGGAUAACCCCAGGUUGCAUUUUGCAACCAAAGUUCCAUAAGAUUCCAGCAUCAUCCUCAACCUGCAACACCAUUACAUGGCACCCUUGGGACCGAGGUAAAGCAGCUUCGCUGCCAAUUGGAAAUGAUAAUCUUCUCUCAACGUCAGGGGUUGUGAGAACUUUUGAAAAAUUUUGCAUACCUGAAUUUGAUUUCUUUGAGCUGCUCUACUGGUCAAUUUUUACUUACAGAGUAGCGAGAGAAGAUGAGAAUUAAGCACAAAUAUAUAGGGGUAGAAAAGCCAUGAAAGUUUGAAGCGCGAGCUCUGGCUAACCGGACAUGUGGUCGCGUGAGAUUGAGACUUUGGAUGUGUCUUUUUCUUACUUUUUCAAAGAAAGGUUACUCUACUGGUGGGGCCUAUGAAAAGAAAAAAAGAAUUAAAGAUCUAGAGGGUAUAAAAGUUUUCUUGCCAUUCGGAGUGUUUAAAUUGUUACAUGAUCUUUCCAUUUGUCAGAAUGUCCGCCAUUGUCAACAUUUGUAACAAAAGCACACUUCAAGCAACUUUGUUGCAACGCAUAUUCUUCUGAAACGAUUAUGCUAUCAUCAAUAGCAAUCAAUUGGCUGAACAACAGAUUCACUAGGUCUCGCGCGUCAGACCCCUCUUUCUUUCUUGAAUCUUGCAAAAUACCCAAACUCCACCUGGUUUUUGUUUGUGGGCUAAAUUUUAUGGCAUUGAAGUCAAUUCGGAACUACGAAGGAGACUCCUGGUUUUGAUUAUAGCAAUGUAUAUAUCAUUAGUCACUGGUUUAACUACUGGAAAGGUUGUUGUUUCUGCCUGUAAAACAAGGAAAACAUCAUUUCUCCAAAAGAAAAAAGUACUAUCAAAUAAGGAAUCCUAUAAACGCCACCAUAGUAAGGAACGUACUAAUCCAGUCGUGUAAUCACUAUAUUUCUUUGUUACGACUAUUUGGUGAUGGGUUAUGGCUUAAAAUUAGUGAUUCAGUGAUUCACUCUUAACGUGAUAGUCAUGCUUAUUUUACAAUUAUUAUAGAAUUUUUCAAUAAAGAAAGAUUACAAGCACAAUAAAAAAUCUUUAAACUAACGACUUUUUAAAUACAAGUAUAAUUAGGAUCAUUAAAAAUUUAUUUGGAUAAAUGAUAAAAUUAAUUUAAAUAAAAUUAAAAAUAAUUAUUAUUAUCGUAAUUAUGAUUAAAAUAAAUUAUUGUAAUUACGAUUAAAUAAAAUUUAAAUAAUUUUAUACUAAAUGGAUCUUACUAUAAUUGAUAUUUAAAUUUAAUUAUAUCAUUAAUAUUAUUACUUAAUGUGCAAAAAUUUUCAUAUUUACUCUAUAUACAGAUAAUUAAUGUCAAAAUAGUAAUUAAAUUUCACGCAACUUAAUAUUACCAUACGAAAAUCAUAAUUCUUUUAAUAUGAUACGAUUUUGAUAAAGGUGUCUUAGAAAUACUAAAACUAACUCAAGAUGAUAGUUAUAGAAAGAAUUCUUAAGUUCCUGGUUUAGUAUUUGGGACUAGUAGUUUGUGACUGUGAAUGUUACAGCUUACAAUCUUAUUAGUAAUCCUCAUGUUUUUUUUUUUUUUUUAAUUUUGGGAAAUGGGAUUCGGACUUUAUUUAAAAACAAAAAAAACUCAUAUACAUCAAUUAUUAAAUUAAAAUUUUGGGUGGGAAAAAAAUAAAAGCCCAAAAAAGCUAGAAAUGGAAGAAUGGGCCACUAACAGCUAAGGUGACUAAAAAAUAAUUAACCGUUGACCCAACCCUUUUUCAAAUGCACUUCCAAAAUGAAAGUAUGGGGUAAUAAGUCUACGAAGCUUAGGGAAAAUAGAAUUGAAGAAAAUAAAAUGUUAAAGAUAAAGUCUAAUAUUUAAAAAAAAAAAUAGACAUAUGAUUUUUCGUUCAGAAAAUACUUCGUAAGAUUUUUAACUUAAUUACUUUAAAUAAUAUAUUUUAAAUUAUUUAUUCAUUCUUUUAGAACUUCGAACUUUUACUUUACAUAUUUUAAAAUUUUUAUUUUGAUUAAAUAUGAACACUUGAAUUAACGAGUUAUGUCUUUAAAAUUUUAUAUUUUGAUAAGAUUUUAUCAAGUUUUUUAUUAUUAAAAAAUAUAACCCUAAGUUAAAAAUAAAAAAAAAAUGACAAUUUAAAGUUAUAAUCAGUUAUCAUACUUAAAAAAAUUUUAAAGUUUUAAAAUUUUAUCCAAAAUAAAAAGUUACAGUGUAAAAUUUUUAAAAAAUCAAUACACAUUAAAGAUUUUACGUUUCACCGAAAUAUGAAAAUAAAAAUCAACCCUGUUUUUCUUUCCAAAUCUUCCUCAAAAAAUAUUAAUUAGUUUUGAUACGCCUUAAAGUGUCAUGGCUUCUUAUGUCCAAAGAUACAAUUAAUAAAAUGCUUUUCGAGACGGUGAAAUCAGAAAGCCACCUACUAGAGCUGAGAUUCUUUUGCCGUUUGCACUUAAUAAAAAAAAAAAGGCCGCUGUCGCAGCUACCAGUUCAUCUUCUUCAGUGACAGAGGAGGAGCUGACACUGACAGUAAAAUGGAGUGGAAAAGAGUAAAUGGUUAGAGUCGUGGCGAUGACUCAGUGGCCGAGUUGAAACGAAGAAUCUGGAAACUCACCAACGUUUUACCCAAAAGACAGAAGUUUCCUUACUCUAAAACGGCAAUAAAUACUAGUCCAUUUAUUAAAACCAUUGAAAAUCCCAAUCUCCCAAAAAUAAGUAAGAAUUCUAUAAUUUUCAUUCAGAAAUAUAUCAGAAUAGAAACUGGAACUGGGCUUCUUCAGAAUAUUGAUAUUAAGAAUGACUAUGAUUUAGAAUUAGAGAUAACUAAAUUUGUUCCUAAAUUUAGAUAUUGAGGCAAAAAAAUUUGCCAAUGAUACUAUAAAUAGCAACAAUUGAUGAAAGUACUAGCUAAAAUCAUUUAGGAACUUCCCAAAUUGCCUUUGGAUAUAUUAUUUUGUUUUUAAAAAAAUGGUGGAUUUAUCAUAUGAAAGGUAAUAAAUAAUUCUUAUACAAAUUUAGUACUUAAAUUACAUUCUAUAUUAUAAAAAUAAAAAAUAUUGGAUAAAAGGUUUGUACAUAUUGUAUUAUCUUACAAAAGAAUCUUUGAAAAGCUAUAAAAUCUUUGUAAGAGUAAAUCAACAACGUUAUAAAUUCUCCACGUUUUGUGAUCUUCAUUUGCAGUAGAUUUCUUGGCAGACUCUUUCUCUUGGUAUUACCCUGCAUCAAUGAUGAAAGAAAAUAUUUCCUAGCCUAUUGCUAGUAAAGUCAGCAAAAGACAAGGAACCAAAUAUGACUAAAGCAACCUCUUAAACCUUGCCUGAGAAUUUUCCUUAACUGGACUGAACUAACAAAUCCCAAAUCAUCUAGUUUUGAUCUGUUGAAUUUCCUUGAAUUCCAAGAUUGGAAGUAUAACUAAUUUCUAUACGUUCAAAGACCUGAGAGCCUGUAAUCAGGGCAGAUGACAAAGAAUCAUAAGGACAAAUAUGAAUCUUAUUAUCCCAAGUAAUUGUAAUUUUUAGCAUUUAGGCAAACUAGCUUCUAAUAUGCUUGUAAAAAAUAGGAAGAAGGGCUAAACUUUGAACUGGAUAUACACAAUACUAACUACUAACAGCCUUCAUAUCUCAAUAUGUUGUAAGCACGAAGUAUCAUUCUGUAUGAAUUCUCUUGGAAUCACCCAAAACUUGGACAUGAUUUACAUAUGAUUCAAGAGUGUAAUGACUGGAAAAUAAAACUCUACCUGGUCUGGUAGAAAUACUGAAAGACAUACCAUGAUGAAUUGUUGAUUCCCAAAAAGAGGCUUGCAUAACAGAGUUCAGCCCGAACUAGUUCCAUUAUCCAUAUUAUUUGAUGAGUUUGGCCCAACUACACUCAUUGAAAUUCCUUAGAUGAGAAAAGAGAUGUGAAUAGCUCUUGAAUUGACAUAAUUAUUGGAAAAUCUAGGUGCAACAAUCAUACUAGAAAAUGCCAAAGUUGCAUUAUUAGAGGGACUACAUGGAUGCUCAUAAGGACAGCAUUCAUCUAAGUUUGAAAAUACUAAGGAAUGUAGUUACAAAAUAGAGACAGGGAAAGAGCAUAAAUGCAAGCAUGCCCAUGAAUUACAGCGAAAAGCCAAUUCAAAUAAACUAAAAUUAAUAGAAACCAAAUGAAAUAAGUUCAAUGAACUAGGUAUGAAAGAGCUUACUAAUAUAAAAUGCAUCUCUAAUUUUUCUGCCUAAACUUUUUUCUAUCAUCUAUAUUCUUGAAAGUUCACAUGGCAUGUUGCUAACGCAUGCUCCAUAGCGUUCUAAAGAUUCACAUAGAGGUAACUUAUGUGAGAAGCAUGGUAUUAAAUAAAUCAAGCAGGAUAAAAACAUAGAGAAACUAUGAAGCUACCAUGAGCUGUAGAAAUGAAAAAUGACCUUCUGGCCGACCAUUCCAAUUUGGCACAUGCACAACGCAAAGUGAAGUUGGCAGUGUCAGUGUAUCUCCUCUUCCUGAAAAAUAAGCAGAUGAAAUUAUACAAAAUCAAUUGAGGUCAAAAACUUAUUGCUCAAUCAAGAGAUGCCCAAGCAAACUAGUGUUGCAAAGAAAUAAAGAAUGAAACCGCAGAGGCGGUCAUCUGACUGAAGUUUUUUCCUUAGUAGAUAUCAAUUAAAAAGGUAAAAAGGCAAAAUGGGAACUAAGCUACAGAUUUAUUUGUUAGCUCUGUUUCCUAUAUAUAGACAUGUCAAACCUAAAGCACAUAAAUUAUAUACUUUACAUAUAUAUAUAUAUAUAUAUUAUAUAAUGGAAGAAAAAAGAGAGCAAAAUUAUAAUAUACUAUGAACCUAAAGCAAAAUCAUGGUUUAGCAGACCUUGGAGGUGAUCCAAAGAUCUUCACACACUUCAACACACCAUCUUCCAACAGCUUCUUCAGAACACAACCAAUCCGCAUAAACCAAGUUAUUGAAAAUGAAUCAAUCAUCAAAAUUAGGGCAUCAAAUUGGGUAUGUGCAACUUUAAUACUAAUUUAAGAUGAAAUAGAACUGAACUUCAGUCACUGAAAGUGAAAAAACAAAUAAAUUAUAAAUUUAAUUCGUUUCAUGCAAUUACCUCUUUCUUGUUCUCAUAGACUUGAGCACAAUCAGUAUGCCGGUAUCCAUCCUGCAUGAAAACAGAGCAAUUGUUACACAAACGACGGUGACAGUAACAAAUGGCCGUGAGAUGACAAUCGUGGGAGUGAAAAGUGAAAAUUAGAGUUUGAUUUUCAACAAUUAGGGGAAAAUGAAAAGAUAAAAUCUUAUUUAAGAAAGAGAUUUUGAUUUUGAAAGAGUAAAAACAUGAAUUUUACAAUUCUGGAAAACGAAAAAAAGCCAAAGAGAAGAGAGAGGUAGAAAAAAAAAUUAUAUGAGAAAGACAGGAGGGAAAGGCUAAAAGUGCCCUUAAAACAUUGAUCUUUAGCGGCGGCUUCAUUUUGGUCACGAAAAAACAAAAUAAAAUAGGAUAGUUAUGGCGGUACUUCAAACCCUGAAGAAAAAAAUGUUCUUAAAAAUACAUUAUUUUGUAGUGCUUACGAGAUUAGGUUUGAAAGAGGCACAAAAUUGGGCUUCAAACCCUUAAUUUUUUAGCCGACGAGAAGUUAUGGGAUUUUAGAGAAAGAAGGGAGAGAGUCUUGGGUUUUUACUUUAAACCGACUGAAGAGGACUGAUGAAGUGACGAGAACAUCAAGAGAUUUUAAAAUAAUGAAGUGACAAGUAAAUGUUAAAUAAAAAGAGACAAAUGAUAUUAUUUGUAAAGGCGAACAUGCUUUUGUCCCUAGAAUUUACAUUUUAGAGGCAAAAUUUUUAUUUGUCUCUAAGAAUACAAUGUGUUGCAGUGAGGAUUACAAAUCAAAAAGAUCAGUUUGAGCCUAAGUUUUUUUUUCUAUUUACAGAACUUAAGAGUAUCACUAUCACUCCUCUUUACUCGAAUUUUGUAGUGUGCCCCUUCCUCCUUGGAAAUAAUGACAAUAUCACCAUUACGAAGACCCUUACUUCGGACAAAUUGGAUCCAACCGGAAACAAGAACCAGUUUUGGGAUAACCCCAGGUUGUAUUUUGCAACCAAAGUUCCUUAAGAUUCCAGCAUCAUCCUCAAUCUGCAACACCAUCACAUGGCACCCUUGCGACCGAGGUAAAGCAGCUUCGCAGCCAAUUGGAAAUGAUAAUCUUCUCUCAAUGUCAGUGGGUGCGAGAACUUUUGAAAAAAUUUGCAUACCUGAAUUUGAUUUCUUUGAGCUGCUGUACCGGCCAAUUUUUACUUACAGAUUAGCGAGAGAAGAUGAGAAUUGAGCACAAACAUAUAGAGGAAGAAAAGCCUUGGAAGUUUGAAGCGCCAGCUCUGUCGAUAUCGUGAGAAUGAGACUUUGGAUGUGUCUCUUUUUUUUUAAUCUUUUCACGGAAGGUGUAUUGGUGGGCCUAUGAAAGGAAAAAUGAACUAAAGAUCCAGAGAGUACAAAAGUUUUC